CUGAUAUUCCCAUUAGUACUUUCUUGAUUCCUUGUAGUCCUUUUGAUAUUUGACUUGACGUGGUGGCUAUCGUUGAAACCUAUCUAUGAGCACAUGUUAAGCCAAGCCAUUCUAAAAACCACAAAUGUGCAUCUGUCCACUACAUAUUGGGUAGAUAUAGAUUAAAGUUUUGUAUGUUGUAUCAUCCUCACAUCCUGACACUGUUUUACUUGUAGGAUGACUUGUAUAGUACUAAGUAACCAUGUACUAAGACUCUUUGAUAACCCCAUGCUUUCCAC
Pelobates cultripes (western spadefoot toad) is the source of this 278-nucleotide non-coding RNA. The record is from the annotation of a GenBank genome assembly. NCBI's taxonomy places the organism in Eukaryota, Metazoa, Chordata, Amphibia, Anura, Pelobatidae.